RNAcentral lists this ribosomal RNA (497 nucleotides) under uncultured bacterium. RNAcentral describes it as "partial 16S ribosomal RNA". It matches the Rfam family "Bacterial small subunit ribosomal RNA", at positions 28 to 507 of the family's 1533-position model. The record is from RNAcentral.
GACGAACGCUGGCGGCGUGCCUAAUACAUGCAAGUUGAGCGAUGAAGAUUGGUGCUUGCACCUAUUUGAAGAGCAGCGAACGGGUGAGUAACGCGUGGGGAAUCUGCCUUUGAGCGGGGGACAACAUUUGGAAACGAAUGCUAAUACCGCAUAACAACUUUAAACAUAAGUUUUAAGUUUGAAAGAUGCAAUUGCAUCACUCUAAGAUGAUCCCGCGUUGUAUUAGCUAGUUGGUGAGGUAAAGGCUCACCAAGGCGAUGAUACAUAGCCGACCUGAGAGGGUGAUCGGCCAAAUUGGGACGGAGAAACGGCCCAAGCUCCUACGGGAGGCAGCCGUAAGGAAUCUUCCGCAAUUGACCAAAGUCUGACCGAGCAACGCCGCGUGAGUGAAGAAAGGUUUCGGAUCGUAAAACUCUGUUGGAAGAGAAGGACGUAAGUGAGAGUGGAAAGCUCAUCAAGUGACGGUAACUACCCAGAGAGGGACGGCUAACUACGUG